This is a long non-coding RNA of Pleuronectes platessa (European plaice), 770 nucleotides long. RefSeq lists it as uncharacterized. Lineage: Eukaryota; Metazoa; Chordata; Actinopteri; Pleuronectiformes; Pleuronectidae. The transcript has 3 exons. The record is from RefSeq and is a predicted model, not a curated record.
UUUCCGUAGGUGGCGCUAUUGAGCGGUUUUGACACACCCGUUCCCAAAUACUUCAGAAUACGUAAACUUGCGCACAUUUCUAAUUUACUGUACACUUUAGAAACUUUUUGAGCACGUUAAAGCCCUCAAAAAGCCAAUUCACUGAGCGAAGAAAAAUAAUAAUAACUAGGGCUACGUUGUAGCACUAACGGGCCCGAGCACAGGCAAUUUCUAGUCUGUUGCGGUCGAUGAAGAGAGAACGUUCGAUGACCAAGCGCUAGUCUCCGCAUUGCAUGCGUUUGCGCUCUGCGGCAAGGAUGAUCGCUCCACUUCCUGUAGCCAGCCGCUGGUGCUGAACUAGAGAUGAGGAACUGCAGCACCUGAUGUUCUCAGCAGCAACAUGGUGGAGAUCUGCAGCUUCAUGCUGGUCAAAAUGUGGACGAUGUCAUCAUCAUCAGAAGCUACACAACACUGUGAAAUUACUCUUAUAUAAAGAUGGCCUGCAACUGUUUAGUGGUGGCAGUCAUUUCUAAGUGUCAUGGAUAAGAAUUAAUUUCUAUCUUCAUUAUGAUGAGGAACUGCAGCACCUGACGUCGUCAGCAGCAACAUGGUGGUCAACACGUGGACGACUGCAUAAUCAUCAGAAGCUACACAACACUUCUAAAUUCCUCCCUUAAAUAAAGAUGGCCUGCAACUGUUUGGUGGUGGCAGUCAUUGCUAAGUGGCAUGGAUAAGAAUUAAUUUCUAUCUUCAUUAUGGUUGGUUAAAAUAAUAAAAACUUAUAACAACAA